AAAUUGAAGAGUUUGAUCAUGGCUCAGAUUGAACGCUGGCGGCAGGCCUAACACAUGCAAGUCGAACGGUAACAGGAAGCAGCUUGCUGCUUCGCUGACGAGUGGCGGACGGGUGAGUAAUGUCUGGGAAACUGCCUGAUGGAGGGGGAUAACUACUGGAAACGGUAGCUAAUACCGCAUAAUGUCGCAAGACCAAAGAGGGGGACCUUCGGGCCUCUUGCCAUCGGAUGUGCCCAGAUGGGAUUAGCUUGUUGGUGGGGUAACGGCUCACCAAGGCGACGAUCCCUAGCUGGUCUGAGAGGA
Molecule: ribosomal RNA, 303 nt
Filed under: Escherichia coli
Lineage: Bacteria; Pseudomonadati; Pseudomonadota; Gammaproteobacteria; Enterobacterales; Enterobacteriaceae
Also listed under: 1 other name
Description: partial 16S ribosomal RNA
Rfam family: Bacterial small subunit ribosomal RNA
Source: RNAcentral